RNAcentral lists this unclassified non-coding RNA (798 nucleotides) under Hevea brasiliensis (rubber tree). Lineage: Eukaryota; Viridiplantae; Streptophyta; Magnoliopsida; Malpighiales; Euphorbiaceae. The record is from RNAcentral.
CUUCCUAAACCCACACAUAAACCCUAAUUUCCUGCUGCCCGCCUCCAAAACCAAAAACCCUAAUCUGAUCUACAAAAUGGGCCGUCGAAAGAACAGCAACAAUAACAAUCAGGGCUCAAUGGGCUUCAACAACGCGCAACACCAGGGCACCAAGAUUCGAUUUCAAGGUGAAGACGAAGAGCUGACCACAGAGAGCUCAAACCUUGACGAGUCAACUGUAACCGGCGACAAAGCCAUUGCUAUGGACGACGACUCCAUGUGCGAGCCCGAUGUCUCCUUUGUCGAUGGCGAUGAUGAUAAGACUAGCGCCGAUUAUUACUUCGAUUCCUAUUCUCACUUUGGUAUUCACGAAGAAAUGCUGAAGGAUAUGGUGAGAACUAAGACAUAUCAAAAUGUUAUUUAUCAGAAUAAGUUUCUAUUCAAGAAUAAAGUAGUACUUGAUGUUGGUGCUGGAACUGGAAUUCUGUCCCUAUUUUGUGCGAAAGCUGGGGCUGCACGUGUUUAUGCGGUUGAAUGCUCUGACAUGGCAGACAUGGCAAAAGAGAUAGUUGAAUCAAAUGGAUUUUCAGAAAUUGUAACUGUUUUGAAGGGAAAGGUUGAAGAGAUUGAGCUACCAGUCGCUAAUGUAGAUAUCAUAAUUUCAGAAUGGAUGGGAUAUUUUCUGUUGUAUGAAAAUAUGUUAAACACUGUCCUCUAUGCACGAGAUAAAUGGCUUGUUAGUGAUGGAAUUCUUCUACCAGACAAAGCUUCCCUUUAUUUGACAGCCAUUGAGGAUGCAGACUACAAAGAAGAUAAGAU